UGCAGUCGAGCGGAACGAUCCUAGCUUGCUAGGAGGCGUCGAGCGGCGGACGGGUGAGUAAUGCAUAGGAAUCUGCCCGGUAGUGGGGGAUAACUUGAGGAAACUCAAGCUAAUACCGCAUACGCCCUACGGGGGAAAGCAGGGGCUCUUCGGACCUUGCGCUAUCGGAUGAGCUUAUGUCGGAUUAGCUGGUUGGUGAGGUAACGGCUCACCAAGGCGACGAUCCGUAGCUGGUCUGAGAGGAUGAUCAGCCACAUCGGGACUGAGACACGGCCCGAACUCCUACGGGAGGCAGCAGUGGGGAAUAUUGGACAAUGGGGGCAACCCUGAUCCAGCCAUGCCGCGUGUGUGAAGAAGGCCCUCGGGUUGUAAAGCACUUUCAGCGAGGAAGAAUGCUUGUCGGUUAAUACCCGGCAAGGGAGACAUCACUCGCAGAAGAAGCACCGGCUAACUCCGUGCCAGCAGCCGCGGUAAUACGGAGGGUGCGAGCGUUAAUCGGAAUUACUGGGCGUAAAGCGUGCGUAGGCGGCUUGAUAAGCCGGUUGUGAAAGCCCCGGGCUCAACCUGGGAACGGCAUCCGGAACUGUUAGGCUAGAGUGCAGGAGAGGAAGGUAGAAUUCCCGGUGUAGCGGUGAAAUGCGUAGAGAUCGGGAGGAAUACCAGUGGCGAAGGCGGCCUUCUGGACUGACACUGACGCUGAGGUACGAAAGCGUGGGUAGCAAACAGGAUUAGAUACCCUGGUAGUUCACGCCCGUAAACGAAGUCGACUAGCCGUUGGGGUCCUCGAGACCUUUUGUGGCGCAGUUAACGCACUAAGUCGACCGCCUGGGGGAGUACGGCCGCAAGGUUAAAACUCAAAUGAAUUGACGGGGCCCGCACAAGCGGUGGAGCAUGUGGUUUAAUUCGAUGCAACGCGAGAACCUUACCUA
Molecule: ribosomal RNA, 929 nt
Filed under: Halomonas elongata
Lineage: Bacteria; Pseudomonadati; Pseudomonadota; Gammaproteobacteria; Oceanospirillales; Halomonadaceae
Description: bacterial SSU rRNA
Rfam family: Bacterial small subunit ribosomal RNA
Source: RNAcentral